CGGGGUGUGGCCCAGUUUGGCUAGGGUGCCUGAUUUGGGAUCAGGAGGUCGCAGGUUCGAGUCCUGUCACCCCGACUA
Molecule: transfer RNA, 78 nt
Filed under: Lachnospiraceae bacterium
Lineage: Bacteria; Bacillati; Bacillota; Clostridia; Lachnospirales; Lachnospiraceae
Description: tRNA-Pro
Rfam family: tRNA
About the family: Transfer RNA (tRNA) molecules are approximately 80 nucleotides in length. Their secondary structure includes four short double-helical elements and three loops (D, anti-codon, and T loops).
Source: RNAcentral